RNAcentral lists this ribosomal RNA (465 nucleotides) under uncultured bacterium. Its description in RNAcentral is "bacterial SSU rRNA". It matches the Rfam family "Bacterial small subunit ribosomal RNA", at positions 330 to 793 of the family's 1533-position model. The record is from RNAcentral.
GCCAGACUCCUACGGGAGGCAGCAGUGAGGAAUAUUGGUCAAUGGUCGGGAGACUGAACCAGCCAAGCCGCGUGAGGGAUGAAGGUACAGAGUAUCGUAAACCUCUUUUGUCAGGGAACAAAGGCGGGGACGUGUCCCCGGAUGAGUGUACCUGAAGAAAAAGCAUCGGCUAACUCCGUGCCAGCAGCCGCGGUAAUACGGAGGAUGCGAGCGUUAUCCGGAUUUAUUGGGUUUAAAGGGUGCGUAGGCGGACUGUCAAGUCAGCGGUAAAAUACGGGGGCUCACCCUCCGCUCGCCGUUGAAACUGACGGUCUUGAGUGGGCGAGAAGUAUGCGGAAUGCGUGGUGUAGCGGUGAAAUGCAUAGAUAUCACGCAGAACUCCGAUUGCGAAGGCAGUAUACCGGCGCCCAACUGACGCUGAAGCACGAAAGCGUGGGUAUCGAACAGGAUUAGAUACCCGAGUAG